UACGUAGGGGGCAAGCGUUGUCCGGAAUUAUUGGGCGUAAAGAGCGUGUAGGCGGUCCGGUAAGUCAGCUGUGAAAGUCAAGGGCUCAACCCUUGAAUGCCGGUUGAUACUGUCGGGCUUGAGUACGGAAGAGGCGAGUGGAAUUCCUGGUGUAGCGGUGAAAUGCGCAGAUAUCAGGAGGAACACCAAUUGCGAAGGCAGCUCGCUGGGACGUUACUGACGCUGAGACGCGAAAGCGUGGGGAGCAAACAGG
This 253-nucleotide ribosomal RNA is filed under the name uncultured bacterium. RNAcentral describes it as "partial 16S ribosomal RNA". It matches the Rfam family "Bacterial small subunit ribosomal RNA", at positions 524 to 776 of the family's 1533-position model. The record is from RNAcentral.